RNAcentral lists this non-coding RNA (31 nucleotides) under Rattus norvegicus (Norway rat). The record is from RNAcentral. Lineage: Eukaryota; Metazoa; Chordata; Mammalia; Rodentia; Muridae.
UGCAGAAAUGUGCUCAAAAUGGUGGACUAAU